RNAcentral lists this ribosomal RNA (301 nucleotides) under uncultured bacterium. Its description in RNAcentral is "partial 16S ribosomal RNA". It matches the Rfam family "Bacterial small subunit ribosomal RNA", at positions 509 to 808 of the family's 1533-position model. The record is from RNAcentral.
CAGCGCCGCGGGAAUACGUAGGGUGCGAGCGUUAAACGGAAUUACUGGGCGUAAAGCGUGCGCAGGCGGUUGUGUAAGACAGGUGUGAAAUCCCCGGGCUUAACCUGGGAACUGCGCUUGUGACUGCACAGCUAGAGUAUGGCAGAGGGGGGUGGAAUUCCACGUGUAGCAGUGAAAUGCGUAGAGAUGUGGAGGAACACCGAUGGCGAAGGCAGCCCCCUGGGCCAAUACUGACGCUCAUGCACGAAAGCGUGGGGAGCAAACAGGAUUAGAUACCCCUGUAGUCCCUGUCUCUUAUACC